This 73-nucleotide transfer RNA is filed under the name Dryococelus australis. RNAcentral's name for it is "tRNA-OTHER". It matches the Rfam family "tRNA". From Rfam's summary of the family: Transfer RNA (tRNA) molecules are approximately 80 nucleotides in length. Their secondary structure includes four short double-helical elements and three loops (D, anti-codon, and T loops). Further hydrogen bonds mediate the characteristic L-shaped molecular structure. tRNAs have two regions of fundamental functional importance: the anti-codon, which is responsible for specific mRNA codon recognition, and the 3' end, to which the tRNAs corresponding amino acid is attached (by aminoacyl-tRNA synthetases). tRNAs cope with the degeneracy of the genetic code in two manners: having more than one tRNA (with a specific anti-codon) for a particular amino acid; and 'wobble' base-pairing, i.e. permitting non-standard base-pairing at the 3rd anti-codon position. The record is from RNAcentral. Lineage: Eukaryota; Metazoa; Arthropoda; Insecta; Phasmatodea; Phasmatidae.
ACCUCGGUAGCGCAGUAGGCAGCGCGUAUAUCUCCCAAUCGUAAGGUCGCGAGUUCGAUCCUCACCCGGGUCU